Colletotrichum gloeosporioides Cg-14 is the source of this 1834-nucleotide ribosomal RNA. It matches the Rfam family "Bacterial large subunit ribosomal RNA", at positions 1074 to 2925 of the family's 2925-position model. NCBI's taxonomy places the organism in Eukaryota, Fungi, Ascomycota, Sordariomycetes, Glomerellales, Glomerellaceae. The record is from Rfam.
GGUUUUUAUUAAAGUCGACAAGGAGAUGGGCUUAGAAGCAGCCAAAUUUUGAAGACCUCGUAACAGAGCGCUUGUUAAGUUUUAAAAGCAUCGAAAAUUUAACGGAUCUAAACAAUAUACCGAAACCUUGUCCAUAUUUUACUAUAUAUAUUUAUUGUAUAGUAAUUUUGUGGGGUAGCAGAACGUUGAAUUAAAUUAAGAUAUUUCUUCAGCGAAGAAAUAUAUGAUAAUCAAUUCAAGUGAGAAUGGUGACAUGAGUAACGAAUAAGAAGGAAGGUUCCCGAUUCCCCCUCUUAGCUUAAGAUUAUUUAACUAGGAGGCGAGCAGGUGAAUUCAGAUCCUCCGCCUAAAGCUUAUGGACUAGCAAGGAGCUUGAAAGUAACGGCCUCUAAGUAAUAGACCUAAAGGUUUAAACGAUGAGAAAAUCUAAAUUACUAAAUGACAACAUUUUGGUCCCCCUCCUUUUGAGGAGGUGCUAGGGGGAAUAAGUGAAAAGUGUUCUGGAAAAAAUAGUAAUAAUGAUAUUUUUAUUUAGUAAAUACAACAAACUAAAACAGAUGAGUUUAGAAAGAUAUAAAAUAUUAUACCGUACCUAGAAUCUGAAACAAGUAAGCUAGUAGAGAAUACGAAGGCGUAAAUGAGCUAACAAUCAUAAAGGAACUCGGCAAAUUAACUACCGUAACUUCGGGAUAAGGAGGGCUCAUUAGUCCUGAUGAAUAUCGGGUAAAAAGGAAGAAGCAUAAAAUAAUGUUGUACGACUGUUUAAUUAAAACAAAGCACUCCGCAAAAAGAUUAAAAAUCGAUGUAUUGAGUGUGAUGUCUGCCCGAUCCCGGCUGGUUAACGGAUUUAACUAAAUUAUUAAAAAAUUUGGUGUUGAAGGAACCCCCGGUUAAUGGCGGCCUUAACGUGAGGGUCCUAAGGUAGCGAAAUGCCUUGGCCGUUAAAUGCGGUCUUGCAUGAAUGAUGUAACGAUACAACAGCUGUCUCUAUGAUUGACUCAGUGAAAUUGGAAUAACUGUGCAGAUACAGUUUACCUCUAGUUAGACGAGAAGACCCUAUGCAGCUUUACUGUUACUAAUUAUUGGGUAUGAUGAAUUAAUUUUCAGAUUAUAAGGUAAAUUGGUUAAUAAAAAUGAAAAUCCUUUAUUUUCGCAUCAUACUUCAGAGUCUCUUGCUUGUUGAAUACUAAUUCAGUGGGCGCUUCUGGCUUCAGUGGGCGCUUCUGGCGCCAAUACAGAAGCCCAAAUGAGAGAUAGCCUCAGUUCUGACUUUUAAGUAGCCUUAGAAAGGAAUAUAUGGUUAGGAGACAGUUUAUGUGGGGCACAGACCCCUUAAAGAGUAAAAGGGAGUGUCUAAAAAUUAUUUGUUAUAGGCACAAGCUUGGCUUCGCUUAGCUUGGCCGUAACGUUGUUUGUGGUUUUAUGUAGUUUUACUAUAUUUAAUCUUCUAAAAUUAUUUCUAUCUACCCUCGCUGUAGAUACGAAUGGAUAUUUAGGUACGUUUUUCACUAUAGUGAAAAUAGCGGUAUAAUAAAAAAUAUUAUGAAUAAAUUUUCUAAUGUUUUUUGAGUUAUUAAGAGAUUUCUUAAUAGUCAUGAUAAAUACCUGAAAAGCUCAACGGCUAAUUCGUGCCAUACUGUUUGAUUAACAACAAAUCUUACAGUUGCGUAAGCAGGGCAUAGGAUCACAAGAUGCAAAAAGGAAAGAUCUUGGAUUAUUGGAAAAGCUACGCUAGGGAUGUUUGUCCUUCAAUAUUUUAAGCUAUCUUUGGCUGCGACUACCAUCUCGCCUGCUACCGCGAACCCCAUUCCCAUACCCCCUGACCCCCGUCCCU